This 657-nucleotide long non-coding RNA is filed under the name Cyanistes caeruleus (blue tit). Its description in RNAcentral is "lncRNA (ENSCCEG00000006002.1)". The record is from RNAcentral. Lineage: Eukaryota; Metazoa; Chordata; Aves; Passeriformes; Paridae.
UAAUAGAUGUCAUAAGCACUGAAAAUCACACUGUAUUAAACAGCUCAUAAUGCUUUCCAAACCAUUUUGAUCAACAAGAAAGUGAUGAUAACUUAAUGAUUACUCUAAUGUAUUAUACAGGGUCACAGAAGGACUUGUGAAACCUUGCCAGUCUAAGGAGUCUCUGUCUCCUUUUCUUAGAAAUCACUGCUGCUGCAAUAGAGUCAGCUGGAAGGAUUUUGUGCUUCAGGUGCGUCUGCACAGCAUCCUGCCGCUUAGCUGAAGUGGCAUGGAGAGAUGGCUUAAAGACAGAUGACAGACUAUGCACCCUACAGCUAAGGCAUGGAUUUCAUUAUUCUAAACUUCCUUCUGAAUGUCUUACAUUAACCUUCUCCUCUACUCUCUGCUACUCCAAAGAUUUGGCAAUUAUGCCAUCCCUUUCUUUGCCUGCCAAAAUGUAACAACAAAAGUAAAAAUCGAGGAACUGAAAAAGAGAGCACUACGGAAAAAAAAUCACAUUUUAAAAACCUAAUGCAAAGCCUGCUGGAGCCACAGAAAGGAAAUGCUCAUGUCUGCAUCAGAGGUAGUGAUUUUGCUCUCUCCACAGCAGCUAAUAGACACUCUGUUGGCAGCUCAUCUCAUGCAAAAAUAAAUAUCUAAAGACAGUUUUAUGAAUCA